RNAcentral lists this ribosomal RNA (379 nucleotides) under uncultured bacterium. RNAcentral describes it as "bacterial SSU rRNA". It matches the Rfam family "Bacterial small subunit ribosomal RNA", at positions 470 to 840 of the family's 1533-position model. The record is from RNAcentral.
UGACGGUACCUGCAGAAGAAGCGCCGGCUAACUACGUGCCAGCAGCCGCGGUAAUACGUAGGGCGCGAGCGUUGUCCGGAAUUAUUGGGCGUAAAGAGCUUGUAGGCGGUUUGUUGCGUCUGCUGUGAAAGACCGGGGCUUAACCCCGGUAUUGCAGUGGGUACGGGCAGACUAGAGUGCAGUAGGGGAGACUGGAAUUCCUGGUGUAGCGGUGAAAUGCGCAGAUAUCAGGAGGAACACCCCGAUGGCGAAGGCCAGGUUCUCUGGGCCUGUAANCUGACGCUGAAAAGCGAAAGCCUGGGGAGCGAACAGGAUUANAUACCCUGGUAGUCCAUGCCGUAAACGUUGGGCACUANGUGUGGGGGACAUUCCACGUUUU